AGCCCUCAGGCUCUUCCUAAGGAUACCUCCACUGAUGAAGGUACACCAUCACCAUUCAUCCUCCAUUCAUGAGGAAGAAGCUGACAUUGGAUUUUAUGAUGGAGGAUGACAAGACCUACACAGACCUUCUCGCAAGCCUUAAGAGGUAGCUUACUGCUCAUGAGCUUGCGCUCACAAUGCUGAAGACCAUGCGGGGAUGGAGGAAGAAGGGACGCAAGAAGGUCUCCAAAACUUCCUGACGUAAAGCAGUUGUGGGAGGAAGUCGUGAUGAGCGAGUCCUCGUCUUCUGGCAUCACCAAAACAGCUACACAAUGUCGUAAACGGCACAAUGAUGUCAGAAGACGGGGAAAUCAAAAGCUUGCCGCAUACCGAAAGUAGUGUUUGGAGACAGGAGGGGGACUGGGCAACACUGAGGUUCUGACACCAGCGGAGGACCUCGCUGCUCUACCCUCAUAGCAUUGAGGGUUUUGGAGGGUUAGAAAUAGGUGUCCAACAUCAAGCUCUGUUGGCUGAAGAUUCUCCUGUGCCCAGAACCAGUGGAGUGGAGCAGGGGGCCAGAUGUGGACGGAGAAGUGCAACCAACAACAUUGAGGUCCAAGGGAGCAAUGUCAGCAUCGGCCACGGCUGUCUUCGAUAUGCUGGAGAGAGAGCUGGUUGGAAUUUGGCACAGUGUUUGGCACAGACAUCAGCUCGGACAACUCCAUAGGAAACAACAGGGAGGAGGCAUAAAAUGACUGGACCCUAAAGUGAAACCAGGAGACUGGGUGUUCAUCAUAGAAGAAUUAUACUAGCCACUCCUACCGCAGUGAAGGUACAGGGGAAGACUUCUUGGACGCAUCUCGCACUGUAAGAUACGGGACCUUCCAGCUGCAGAGUCGACCGCCGUGAAGGGGAAAAAAUCUGACUACACAGGGGUCUAGAAAAUAUAGAAUCUAGUCGUCUCAACGUCAGUGUUGUUUAAACAGAGCCUCCACGGCUUAGUGACGAUGCCUGGGGGUCACGGACCUUUGGUGUGGAGGCUGGUCCUCGGAGGGGUCAUUACCCUCACCUUGCUGGGAAUUGUGCUGCAAGGCCUAAGUGGAACUGCACAGACUGCUACAAGGACUGAACAAUGACUUUUUCAUGAGAGACAAAGGAAGCCAAAACAAAAGAUGGAUUUUGUCUGAAGAUCUGCAUACCUACAACAUAACACAUGUGUAUUACCUUGUUUUCGCCAUCUUAUAACCAAGACUGUGAAUGCUAAUAUGGCUACUUUGUUUUUGCAAGAAGAGACAUGUAGGUUCCUUGCUGAGGACAACAGUGAAGUGUAAUGAUUAAUUGAUUAACCUCAUGAUCAGCAAUGAAGUUGUUACAGAAAACCUGUAUUGGAUAUGUUACAAUGGAACAGAUGAUUGUGAAAGUUACCAAUGAUAAACAGGAGGGAAAUGUAAAGGAAUUAUUAUUAUCACUGUAUAACCAUACCAGUGUUAUGUCUUGCUUCCUAUUUUCUGUCUGCAUCUGUACAAUAAAAGACACAGCUUUUGGGCUGCAGGGUCAGAGACUGAUGGUGAAGGGUGAAGGGCAAACCCAUACUACGUGUCUAUAUGUUGGGGUAAAUUCCCUGACAUUCAGCUAGUUCAUUUAAGAUAAUAUAUUGGUCAUUGUAAUGGCCAUAGCCUAUACAUGCUAUUUCUU
Alosa alosa (allis shad) is the source of this 1674-nucleotide long non-coding RNA. RefSeq lists it as uncharacterized. The record is from RefSeq and is a predicted model, not a curated record. The transcript is spliced from 6 exons. NCBI's taxonomy places the organism in Eukaryota, Metazoa, Chordata, Actinopteri, Clupeiformes, Clupeidae.